GGGUACAACCAUACCAACAUGACAGCACCGCUUCCCGUCUGCUCAGCAAAGUUAAGCAUGUUUGGGCCUGGUUAGUACUACGGUGGGGACCGACCAUGUUCCCAGGUGUUGUUCUCA
RNAcentral lists this ribosomal RNA (117 nucleotides) under Fragilariopsis cylindrus CCMP1102. The record is from RNAcentral. Lineage: Eukaryota; Bacillariophyta; Bacillariophyceae; Bacillariales; Bacillariaceae.